RNAcentral lists this non-coding RNA (30 nucleotides) under Mus musculus (house mouse). The record is from RNAcentral. Lineage: Eukaryota; Metazoa; Chordata; Mammalia; Rodentia; Muridae.
UCUUGUCAGUGAUGAACAGGGCCACACCUU